Scylla paramamosain (green mud crab) is the source of this 4262-nucleotide long non-coding RNA. RefSeq lists it as uncharacterized. Lineage: Eukaryota; Metazoa; Arthropoda; Malacostraca; Decapoda; Portunidae. The transcript is spliced from 3 exons. The record is from RefSeq and is a predicted model, not a curated record.
GAGUGCAGUAAUACCAAGGCAGCUUGCCACCUUGACGGGAACAAGGGAAGACUCGUGUAGCGAACCUUUUCCCUCCUUAGCGUCGUCCGCCUGCUGCUGUUUCCUACCAGCUGCUCUCAUCCUCUUGCUUUCUCGCCAUGACCCCAUUGACCCUCCCUCGGGCCUCCUCCCCAUCAGGAACUAACAUUUGAAGAAAGAUUACGAGUAUUUAUCCCCUCCUAACCUAUCAUUUUUAGUCAGCAGUCAGUCAGUCAGUCAGUCAAAUAGCCAUUCAGUGAAUGCGUGAGUUUGUGGAUAUUAAUUCAUUCCCUUAGCAAGUAUUUUUCAUUCAUUCAUUCAGUCAGACAGACAAUAAACCAUCACUCACUCGCUCACUCAAACACCCAGUCACUCAAUUUUCCUGCUCAUCUGUGUUCUCUUCUGUUUUUCACCACAUUUCAUCUCUUCCCUCCUCCCUCAUACCCUCUUACCCUCUCACCACCCCCUCAUGCCCUCAGGUACUGUGCGAGAGAAUGGAGGGGAGCCUGAAUACAGAAGAGGUACUCACUGGUCUCAGGAUAAACUCCCCCACAGGCAUCCCAGAGUGUGGAGCUGAUGCCCUUCGGUCCACCCUAUGCUCCACCAGCUUCAGGAGUCAGUGUGGCAUAGAUAGAUGUGGAUGACUGUGGUGUCUUGUCUUGUGUGGAGUUACAAGGUUGGUGUAUGGAUGGAACCGUCACCCCAAACAAUGAGUGGUGGAGGGUGCGUUCUGCGAUGACAGCCAGCAUGAGCGGUGACAGGAGGUGUGUGAGGCGCAUGACAGCUUUAGUGACAAGUUCAUGCAGGCAGUGGUGCAAUAUUAUUCCCUCAACACACUCAUUCACUUUGACGGCUUGGAAACCACAGUGCCUUCAGAUUUGUGGAGAAGUGUGUGUGUGUGUGUGUGUGUGUGUGUUUUUGAUAGUUAUAUUAGUUGUUUAAAUCAUGCUGGGCUAAUAUCUAUCCCUCUAUCAAUGUGCGUGUGUGUGUGUGUGUGUGUGUGUGUGUGUGUGUGUGUUUACCUAUUGCACGAGACAGGGGAAGAGGGAAGAGGAGGAGAGGAGAGGUGCUUGGGAGAUGAAAAUGUAUGUGUGUAUGUGUGUAUGAAUAUUUUCCCUAUCAUACACAAAAACACCCUUGAAAUCCUAUAUAUAAUUUGCCAUAGAACACACUUACUCUCUCCCACGUGCCCACUCCCUCUCUCCCACCCUCUCACCUCCCACACACCUGUAUACCGCGUCCUGCAGCCUCAAUGCACUCACCCCUUCUUUUCCAGUCAUGGGUGCCUUGCCUCCUCGCACCACCACCACAAGCACCACCACUACUGCCAUCACCUACAAGGAGGAGACUGUGAUGUGGCUGCAGGUGGAUAGGUUCGGAGGCCUCCAGAGAGCUGCCCAGAGUGAAGCUUGUGGUAUAGAAGGACAGCUGCUGAUUAUCAAGCUUAUGGAGUGACUGGAAGAAAGUGGGAGGAGCCUGCAGGAAGUGGUGGAGGUACAGUACUUGGAGAAAAUCCCUUCACCAUGAUGACUGGGUGUCUGCUGUACAGGCCACCAACCAAUGGUGAGAGAGGGAGGGAGACUGGCUAAUGGUGGAUGAGAGAGAGAGAGAGAGAGAGAGAGAGAGAGAGAGAGAGAGAGAGAGAGAGAGAGAGAGAGAGAGAGAGAGUCUUGAUAAAUAAUAUUGGGCACAGGCUUCACCACUGGGUCGACUGUGAGGGCUGCGUUCUUCUGCUAGGGAAGUAUUGGCUGGUUGGUGGCUGCGGCUGUUCACACACUCACUCUUGCUGCGGCUGGCAUGCUGUUCUGUCCUCUCUUGUUCCAGGAAUUGCUGUCUGAGGUGUGUGUGUGUGUAUGUGUGUGUAGAAGCCACCAUCAUCAACCACAGCAGGUGAUAAUGAUGGUUCCUGCUUUCAUCGUCAUUGGGGUUAGCCAGACCAACCUGGGGCUGUACUGGGGUGACGCUGUAUGCCUCAGGUGUAUCUGGAAGGCUGGGAUAGUGAGUAGGUAACAAUUAAAAAGGACUAGUGUACACUUAAACCAUUACAAACACUAUGUAAUGCUGGUAUACACACGCAAACACUGGUAUAUACUUAGAGACAUAUAUAAACACUUGCUAUGGUUUGUAUACUCUUAGAAACACACAUAAACUCUUAAUAAAUCUAGUAUACACACAAACUUGUAUACAAACACUAGUAUAUACUUAGAGACACGUCCAAACCUUUGCUAAGUCUGAUAUAAACAUAUAAACUCAUAAGAGAUGCUGGUAUAUGCUUGGAAAUCUAUACACACAUUAGGUAAGACUAGUAUACACAAAUCUAUACAUAUAUUAGGAAUUUAUGUUGAUUGAGAUGGCUAGUACUCUCUCUCUCUCUCUCUCUCUCUCUCUCUCUCUCUCUCUCUCUCUCUCUCUCUCUCUCUCUCUCUCUCUCUCUCUCUCUCUUUCUCUUUCUCUUUCUCUUUCUCUUUCUCUCUCUCUCUUUCUCUUUCUCUCAUAUCCUUUGUCUGUCUCAAAUUUUCUCUUUUAAUCUCUCCCUCUCUGUCUGUCUGUCUCUCUGUCUGUCUGUCUGUCUGUCUGUCUGUCCCACACCUCAGUACACCCUUCCUGUCUUCAUACACUUUAGUACACCCUUCCUGUCUGCCCCUAUAGCUUAAUACACCCUGUAUCACCCUUGCAUCUCAUUAAACUAUCCCUAUUUGUCCAUCUCAAUAAACCCUGUCUAAUUUCCCUGCCUGGUUGUUUGUCUCAUCUUAUUACACCCUGUCUCUCCCUGCUUCUUGUUGCACCCUUCCUUUCCCCUACACCUCAAUACUCCCUUCCCACCCUGUGUCAUGUGUAUAUAUUUAAGUAUUUAUAUUCAUUUGUGGCAUUCUUCAUGUGUUUUUGGAGUGUUUUGAGUGUGUUUGGGUGUGUUUUGGGGUGUUUGGGUCAGUUUUGGGUGUGUUUUGGGGUGUUUUGGGGUGUUAUGGUCUGUUUUGGGUGUGUUUUGGGGUGUUUUGGGUGUGUUUGGGUGUGUUUUGGGGUGUUUUGGGUGUGUUUGGGUGUGUUUGGGUGUGUUUUGGGGUGUUUUGGAGUGUUUGGGUCAGUUUUGGGUGUGUUUUGGGGUGUUUUGGUCAGUUUUGGGUGUGUUUUGGGGUGUUUUGGGUGUGAUUUGGGGUGUUUUUGUCUGUUUUGGGUGUGUUUUGGGGUGUUUUUGGGUGUGUUUUGGGGUGUUUGGGUCAGUUUUGGGGUGUGUUUUGGGGUGUUUUGGGGUGUUUUGGGUGUGUUUUUGGGGUGUUUUUGUCAGUAUUGGGUGUGUUUGGGUGUGUUUUGGGGUGUUUUUGUCAGUUUUGGAUGAGUUUUGGGGUGUUUUGGGUGUGUUUUGGGGUGUUUUGGUCAGUUUUGAUGAGUUUGGGUGUGUUUUGGGGUAUUUUAAGUGUUUUUUUUUUGGUAUUUUAAAGGAGUUUGGGUGUGUUUUGGUGGCUAGGGAUGUGCUGUGGGUGGAUAAGGCUGUUUCGGGGUGUUUAAGUGGGUGUGCAUGCGUUUUGGGGUGUUUUUGAUGUGUUUUGGGGUGUAGAGAGGUAGACGUGAUGUGUGCAGGGUGUCUCAGUCCCUGGAUGGGUGUAGGAGUGUGUGGUGGUGCUGUCUGGGUCUCGUGGUGUGGAUUGCAUGGAAAGGGAAAGAUAAUUUAAGACAGUUUAUCAUAUUUAAUUAUUUUGUUUAUUAAUUUAUUUACUAUUAUCAUUAUUUUUUAUUGUUUUUAAUUAAAGGGGGGUUAAUUUUUACGUUCAUCUUUUGUGUUCGGGAGUUCCUGGUUAGUGCUAUUGACAAAAAAAUGGAGAUCGUUUUAUUUUUUAGUGUGGAAAUUGUCGCAGUUUGUCAGGUGUUGAUUGGUGUUGAGAGUCGCAGGUCCCGUCUCGCCCGCUGUCAUAAAAUAAACAAUAAAGGGUUGAUUUUCACUGAUAGUUUAUUUCCUCUAACGUAAACAUGUAAUGAUAUAGUUUUGUCUGUGUCUCCUGAUGGUAUGGCACUCUUGGCUAAUAUUUAACUAAUUAUAUUCAUGUCAUUAUCUGAAUAACUAAUAACAAUUCACUAUCCUGCAUGUACUGUCAAGUCUAUCGAAACAUCAGCACGUCAAUAAAUACAUAAAUACAUAAUAAUAUAUAAUACAGAACAAAUUAUGAAUGAAAAGAAAAAAGAAUGAUAAAUGAAAUGCGGUGAUAAUAUACAUAGCGUGGUGCAGAGCGUACGAUAAUGUGGUGCAG